AAUGGUCCAUUCGAUGUUGUUGUGGACCGUGCAAAUGUCGGCCUUAUCACUCAACGAAUUUCAUCUUUCAGCUCAGAUCUAUUUGUUAAAUAAUUGAGACAUAUGAGUGAAUCGAAGAAGUUAUUUGCAUAAAAAUAGCGCUGGUGGUCUGGCUCAACAUCCUAAGAACAAGAAGUUGUUAGAAAGCUGGAAAAUAGCGAGUGCACUUUACUGCGUUUUUGUUUAGCAAGUUCAUCAGAGGGAGAAACAGAGAAAAAUUAUCUGCAAACAUGUCUGUUUAUCGGGAUCUUCUCUCUGGUGAUUAGCUCCUCUCAGAUUCAUUUCCCUACACAGAACUUGCGAAUGGAGUGCUCUGUAAGUACAAGGGUCGUUAAUUAAGGGAGCCAUUGAUGUAAAUAUCGGGGCCGAGUCCAUCUGCUGAAGAUGUGAAAAGAUGGAUGAUUGCAUUGUAUCUUUCCAAAAGAUUGACACCAAAAGCUACUUGUCACCAUGGAAGUGACAUUACUGGAGUGAAUUCAGAAGCAUGCAUGGCCCUUUCGAUGCAGUGGUGGAUGACGCAAACCGUACCACUCAACGGGAAAAAAAGACUUGAUGACGGCUGCACAUACUCGAAGGGUUCUUUAGCUGGCACUUAGACUGCUACUACUAUGAAAAAAGUCAAUAGAAUGCGAUAGGGGAGGAAAAAAAGCUCGACUAAGGCCUCUUGAAGUCUUUGUAGCUGUUCUCUGGACUUUAGCUAGGUCCACCAUAAAGAAAAGUUGUUGGCAAAAGCGUGGCUUAGGUGUGACAGGUAUUCAAUUGCCACCAACUCUUAAGCACACCCAUUGGCAUGGGAUCGGAAGACUUCCAGUUUCGUAAAUGUGUCCAUAACUAUUUUAAUUUCUCACAGGUCAGAUCUCUUGCCAAUAAAUUAAGACAGAUGAGUGAAUCGAAGCAGUUAUUUUGCACAAUAAUUAUGCAACUGUUGGUCCUGCAACAUCCUAAUAACAUGAAGUUGUUAGAGAACUGGAAAAAAGCGGGUUCUCACUUCCCCCAACGCAACUCAAACCUUCAGCCUACCGGUUGAUGGUAAAGGUGCUUAACCACUUGAGCUACCCUUGCUUGCCAAGAUGGAGGUGUUGAUGAUCAAGCCGUCAAGGUUGUUGAUAAUGGUGAGAGCACGGUGAUUUUUACCUUUUGAUACUAUUUGCCUGUAGUUCAAUUUUGUAAUGCAACUUUAAUAGCAGCUUGGGUUUGCGUGUUGUAUGUGGAUUGGUUGAAGAAUUAACAUGUAUACUAAUUAUUUUUCAUUUGUUACUUUGGCGACCAGUCAUAGAGCUGUGACAAAGUUUUGCUUCCGCUAUCGACUGACCGUCCUAUUAGCAGUGCUAUACUAGA
This is a long non-coding RNA of Lycium barbarum (goji berry), 1377 nucleotides long. RefSeq lists it as uncharacterized. NCBI's taxonomy places the organism in Eukaryota, Viridiplantae, Streptophyta, Magnoliopsida, Solanales, Solanaceae. The record is from RefSeq and is a predicted model, not a curated record. The transcript is spliced from 3 exons.